This 331-nucleotide ribosomal RNA is filed under the name uncultured bacterium. Its description in RNAcentral is "bacterial SSU rRNA". It matches the Rfam family "Bacterial small subunit ribosomal RNA", at positions 568 to 898 of the family's 1533-position model. The record is from RNAcentral.
CGUGCAGGCGGUCAGGUUAGUGGGACGUGAAAUGCCCCGGCUCACCCGGGGACCUGCGUCCCAAACUGCCUGGCUUGAGUAUGGGAGAGGAUGAGGGAAUUCCUGGUGUAGCGGUGAAAUGCGUAGAUAUCAGGAGGAACACCGGUGGCGAAGGCGCUCAUCUGGCCCAAUACUGACGCUGAGGCGCGAAAGCUAGGGGAGCAAACGGGAUUAGAUACCCCGGUAGUCCUAGCCGUAAACGGUGAUCACUAGGUGUUGGAGGCAUAGACCCCUCCAGUGCCGCAGCUAACGCACUAAGUGAUCCGCCUGGGGAUACGGCCGCAAGGUUGAA